GAAGAAGUGACUGAGUGGUUAAUAGUGGCAGACUGUAAAUCUGUUGGGUAAUCCUUCGUUGGUUCGAAUCCAACCUUCUUCA
RNAcentral lists this transfer RNA (82 nucleotides) under Aureococcus anophagefferens. RNAcentral describes it as "tRNA-Tyr". It matches the Rfam family "tRNA". Rfam says of the family: Transfer RNA (tRNA) molecules are approximately 80 nucleotides in length. Their secondary structure includes four short double-helical elements and three loops (D, anti-codon, and T loops). RNAcentral also lists the same sequence under 1 other name. Lineage: Eukaryota; Pelagophyceae; Pelagomonadales; Pelagomonadaceae. The record is from RNAcentral.